UACGAAGGGGGCUAGCGUUGCUCGGAAUCACUGGGCGUAAAGCGCACCUAGGCGGACUCUUAAGUCGGUGGUGAAAUCCUGGAGCUCAACUCCAGAACUGCCUUCGAUACUGGGAAGCUCGAGUCCGGGAGAGGUGAGUGGAACUGCGAGUGUAGAGGUGAAAUUCGUAGAUAUUCGCAAGAACACCAGUGGCGAAGGCGGCUCACUGGCCCGGUACUGACGCUGAGGUGCGAAAGCGUGGGGAGCAAACAGG
RNAcentral lists this ribosomal RNA (253 nucleotides) under uncultured bacterium. RNAcentral describes it as "partial 16S ribosomal RNA". It matches the Rfam family "Bacterial small subunit ribosomal RNA", at positions 524 to 776 of the family's 1533-position model. The record is from RNAcentral.